RNAcentral lists this ribosomal RNA (474 nucleotides) under uncultured bacterium. RNAcentral describes it as "bacterial SSU rRNA". It matches the Rfam family "Bacterial small subunit ribosomal RNA", at positions 28 to 507 of the family's 1533-position model. The record is from RNAcentral.
GAUGAACGCUGGCGGCGUGCCUCAAACAUGCAAGUCGAGCGGGGCUAUGUAAUAUCGCAAGGUAGAACAUAGCCUAGCGGCGAACGGUGAGUAACACGUGGGUAACCUGCCUGGAAGACAGGGAUAACGAUUCGAAAGGGUCGCUAAUACCUGAUAAUAUCCUUUCAUCGCAUGGUGAUAGGAAGAAAGGGGAAACCCGCUUUCAGAUGGGCCCGCGUCCCAUCAGCUAGUUGGUAAGGUAAAGGCUUACCAAGGCGACGACGGGUAGCCGGUCUGAGAGGAUGUACGGCCACACUGGGACUGAGAUACGGCCCAGACUCCUACGGGAGGCAGCAGUUGGGAAUCUUAGGCAAUGGACGAAAGUCUGACCUAGCGACGCCGCGUGAGGGAAGAAGGCCUUCGGGUUGUAAACCUCUGUCAUGGGGGAAGAAGUAAGUGACGGUACCCCAAGAGGAAGCCCCUGCUAACUACGUG